RNAcentral lists this ribosomal RNA (765 nucleotides) under uncultured Streptococcus sp. RNAcentral describes it as "bacterial SSU rRNA". It matches the Rfam family "Bacterial small subunit ribosomal RNA", at positions 28 to 776 of the family's 1533-position model. The record is from RNAcentral. Lineage: Bacteria; Bacillati; Bacillota; Bacilli; Lactobacillales; Streptococcaceae.
GACGAACGCUGGCGGCGUGCCUAAUACAUGCAAGUAGAACGCUGAAGCUUGGUGCUUGCGCCGAGCGAAUGAGUUGCGAACGGGUGAGUAACGCGUAGGUAACCUGCCUCUUAGCGGGGGAUAACUAUUGGAAACGAUAGCUAAUACCGCAUAAAAGUCGACAUUGCAUGAUGUUGACUUGAAAGGUGCAAUUGCAUCACUAAGAGAUGGACCUGCGUUGGAUUAGCUAGUUGGUGAGGUAACGGCUCACCAAGGCAACGAUACAUAGCCGACCUGAGAGGGUGAUCGGCCACACUGGGACUGAGACACGGCCCAGACUCCUACGGGAGGCAGCAGUAGGGAAUCUUCGGCAAUGGGGGCAACCCUGACCGAGCAACGCCGCGUGAGUGAAGAAGGUUUUCGGAUCGUAAAGCUCUGUUGUAAGAGAAGAACGAGUGUGAGAGUGGAAAGUUCACACUGUGACGGUAACUUACCAGAAAGGGACGGCUAACUACGUGCCAGCAGCCGCGGUAAUACGUAGGUCCCGAGCGUUAUCCGGAUUUAUUGGGCGUAAAGCGAGCGCAGGCGGUUAGAUAAGUCUGAAGUUAAAGGCUGUGGCUUAACCAUAGUACGCUUUGGAAACUGUUUAACUUGAGUGCAAGAGGGGAGAGUGGAAUUCCAUGUGUAGCGGUGAAAUGCGUAGAUAUAUGGAGGAACACCGGUGGCGAAAGCGGCUCUCUGGCUUGUAACUGACGCUGAGGCUCGAAAGCGUGGGGAGCAAACAGG